CAGCAGCCGCGGGAACACAGAGGGUGCGAGCGUUAAUCGGAUUUACUGGGCGUAAAGCGUGCGUAGGCGGCUUUUUAAGUCGGAUGUGAAAUCCCUGAGCUUAACUUAGGAAUUGCAUUCGAUACUGGGAAGCUAGAGUAUGGGAGAGGAUGGUAGAAUUCCAGGUGUAGCGGUGAAAUGCGUAGAGAUCUGGAGGAAUACCGAUGGCGAAGGCAGCCAUCUGGCCUAAUACUGACGCUGAGGUACGAAAGCAUGGGGAGCAAACAGGAUUAGAGACCCGAGUAGUCCCUGUCUCUUAUAC
This 301-nucleotide ribosomal RNA is filed under the name uncultured bacterium. Its description in RNAcentral is "partial 16S ribosomal RNA". It matches the Rfam family "Bacterial small subunit ribosomal RNA", at positions 509 to 807 of the family's 1533-position model. The record is from RNAcentral.